UGGGGAAUUUUGGACAAUGGGCGAAAGCCUGAUCCAGCAAUGCCGCGUGUGUGAAGAAGGCCUUCGGGUUGUAAAGCACUUUUGUCCGGAAAGAAAUCCUUGGCUCUAAUACAGUCGGGGGAUGACGGUACCGGAAGAAUAAGCACCGGCUAACUACGUGCCAGCAGCCGCGGUAAUACGUAGGGUGCAAGCGUUAAUCGGAAUUACUGGGCGUAAAGCGUGCGCAGGCGGUUUGCUAAGACCGAUGUGAAAUCCCCGGGCUAACCUGGGAACUGCAUUGGUGACUGGCAGGCUAGAGUAUGGCAGAGGGGGGUAGAAUUCCACGUGUAGCAGUGAAAUGCGUAGAGAUGUGGAGGAAUACCGAUGGCGAAGGCAGCCCCCCUGGGCCAAUACUGACGCUCAUGCACGAAAGCGUGGGGGAGCAAACAGGAUUAGAUACCCUGGUAGUCCACGCCCUAAACGAUGUCAACUAGUUGUUGGGGAUUCAUUUCCUUAGUAACGUAGCUAACGCGUGAAGUUGACCGCCUGGGGAGUACGGUCGCAAGAUUAAAACUUCAAAUGAAUUGACGGGGUCAUAGCUGUUUCCU
Molecule: ribosomal RNA, 587 nt
Filed under: uncultured bacterium
Lineage: Bacteria
Description: partial 16S ribosomal RNA
Rfam family: Bacterial small subunit ribosomal RNA
Source: RNAcentral